CCGUAGCCCAAGAGAUCGGGAUAACACCUGGAAACAAGAUGCUAAUACCGGAUAACAACAGAUGAUGCCUAUCAACUGUUUAAAAGAAUGGUUCUGCUAUCACUCUUGGAUGGACCUGCGGUGCAUUAGCUAGUUGGUAGGGUAACGGCCUACCAAGGCGAUGAUGCAUAGCUGAGUUGAGAGACUGAUCGGCCACAUUGGGACUGAGACACGGCCCAAACUCCUACGGGAGGCAGCAGCA
This 241-nucleotide ribosomal RNA is filed under the name uncultured Lactobacillus sp. Its description in RNAcentral is "partial 16S ribosomal RNA". It matches the Rfam family "Bacterial small subunit ribosomal RNA", at positions 125 to 355 of the family's 1533-position model. The record is from RNAcentral. Lineage: Bacteria; Bacillati; Bacillota; Bacilli; Lactobacillales; Lactobacillaceae.